GAUGAACGCUGGCGGCGUGCCUAAUACAUGCAAGUCGAGCGAACGGACGAGAAGCUUGCUUCUCUGAUGUUAGCGGCGGACGGGUGAGUAACACGUGGAUAACCUACCUAUAAGACUGGGAUAACUUCGGGAAACCGGAGCUAAUACCGGAUAAUAUUUUGAACCGCAUGGUUCAAAAGUGAAAGACGGUCUUUCUGUCACUUAUAGAUGGAUCCGCGCUGCAUUAGCUAGUUGGUAAGGUAACGGCUUACCAAGGCAACGAUGCAUAGCCGACCUGAGAGGGUGAUCGGCCACACGGGAACUGAUACACGGUCCAUACUCCUACGGGAGGCAGCAGUAGGGAAUCUUCCGCAAUAGGCGAAAGCCUGACGGAGCAACGCCGCGUGAGUGAUGAAGGUCUUCGGAUCGUAAAACUCUGUUAUUAGGGAAGAACAUAUGUGUAAGUAACUGUGCACAUCUUGACGGUACCUAAUCAGAAAGCCACGGCUAACUACGUG
Molecule: ribosomal RNA, 497 nt
Filed under: uncultured bacterium
Lineage: Bacteria
Description: partial 16S ribosomal RNA
Rfam family: Bacterial small subunit ribosomal RNA
Source: RNAcentral